UUGACUGUAGCUUAACCUAAAAGCAUAGCACUGAANAUGNUAAGAUG
This 47-nucleotide transfer RNA is filed under the name Crotalus oreganus oreganus. Its description in RNAcentral is "partial tRNA-Phe". The record is from RNAcentral. Lineage: Eukaryota; Metazoa; Chordata; Lepidosauria; Squamata; Viperidae.